AACGAACGCUGGCGGCAGGCCUAACACAUGCAAGUCGAACGCCGUAGCAAUACGGAGUGGCAGACGGGUGAGUAACACGUGGGAACAUACCCUUCGGUUCGGAAUAACUCAGGGAAACUUGAGCUAAUACCGGAUACGUCCGCGAGGAGAAAGAUUCAUCGCCGGAGGAUUGGCCCGCGUCUGAUUAGCUUGUGGGUGAGGUAACGGCUCACCAAGGCGACGAUCAGUAGCNGGUCUGAGAGGAUGAUCAGCCACAUUGGGACUGAGACACGGCCCAAACUCCUACGGGAGGCAGCAGUGGGGAAUAUUGGACAAUGGGCGCAAGCCUGAUCCAGCCAUGCCGCGUGAGUGAUGAAGGCCCUAGGGUUGUAAAGCUCUUUUACCCGGGAAGAUAAUGACUGUACCGGGAGAAUAAGCCCCGGCUAACUUCGUGCCAGCAGCCGCAGU
Molecule: ribosomal RNA, 447 nt
Filed under: uncultured bacterium
Lineage: Bacteria
Description: bacterial SSU rRNA
Rfam family: Bacterial small subunit ribosomal RNA
Source: RNAcentral